AAGUUGUAUCAGUUCCACCAAUCACGAUGUCCUAUUCCGCACAUUCGAAAUUUCAUCAGAAAGUAUAAAUUGCUGUAAUGUUUGAUGAAGCUGAAUACUUAAAAAUUGGCUCUUAAUAAUAAUAACUUGAUAUUAACUCAUGAUUAUGGUGGC
Long non-coding RNA from Rhodamnia argentea, 153 nucleotides. RefSeq lists it as uncharacterized. NCBI's taxonomy places the organism in Eukaryota, Viridiplantae, Streptophyta, Magnoliopsida, Myrtales, Myrtaceae. The transcript is spliced from 3 exons. The record is from RefSeq and is a predicted model, not a curated record.